GGUCGUAGUUCGGAUUGAGGGCUGAAACUCGCCCUCAUGAAGCUGGAUUCGGUAGUAAUCGCGCCUCAGAAGGGCGCGGUGAAUACGUCCCUGCUCCUUGCACACACCGCCCGUCAAAGCACCCGAGUGAGGUCCGGAUGAGGCCCUGUUUCAGGGUCGAAUCUGGGCUUCGCAAGGGGGCUUAAGUCGUAACAAGGUAGCCGUAGGGGAAUCUGCGGCUGGAUCACCUCCA
Molecule: ribosomal RNA, 232 nt
Filed under: Natrialba sp. INN-245
Lineage: Archaea; Methanobacteriati; Methanobacteriota; Halobacteria; Halobacteriales; Natrialbaceae
Description: partial 16S ribosomal RNA
Rfam family: Archaeal small subunit ribosomal RNA
Source: RNAcentral